AAGCCGAUGGAAGUUUGAGGCAAUAACAGGUCUGUGAUGCCCUUAGAUGUCCCGGGCCGCACGCGCGUUACACUGACAGAGCCAACGAGUUCAUCCCCUUAGCCGAAAGGCUUGGGUAAUCUUGUUAAACUCUGUCGUGCUGGGGAUAGAGCAUUGCAAUUAUUGCUCUUCAACGAGGAAUGCCUAGUAAGCGCGUGUCAUCAGCACGCGUUGAUUACGUCCCUGCCCUUUGUACACACCGCCCGUCGCUACUACCGAUUGAAUGGCU
Molecule: ribosomal RNA, 268 nt
Filed under: uncultured Pezizomycotina
Lineage: Eukaryota; Fungi; Ascomycota
Description: partial 18S ribosomal RNA
Rfam family: Eukaryotic small subunit ribosomal RNA
Source: RNAcentral